ACAGCAGCAGCCACGGUAAUACGUAGGGUGCAAGCGUUAAUCGGAAUUACUGGGCGUAAAGCGCGCGUAGGUGGUUUGUUAAGUUGGAUGUGAAAUCCCCGGGCUCAACCUGGGAACUGCAUCAAAAACUGGCAGGCUAGAGUAGGGCAGAGGGUGGUGGAAUUCCCGGUGUAGCGGUGAAAUGCGUAGAGAUCGGGAGGAACAUCAGUGGCGAAGGCGGCCAUCUGGGAUAAUACUGACGCUCAUGCACGAAAGCGUGGGGAGCAAACAGGAUUAGAUACCCGCGUAGUCCCUGUCUCUUAUAA
This 305-nucleotide ribosomal RNA is filed under the name uncultured bacterium. RNAcentral's name for it is "partial 16S ribosomal RNA". It matches the Rfam family "Bacterial small subunit ribosomal RNA", at positions 505 to 809 of the family's 1533-position model. The record is from RNAcentral.